GGCUCAGUAACAAGUAGUCAAUCUGCCCUAAGGACGGGAGCAACCUCGGGAAACUGAGGUCAAUUCCCGAUGCCCCAUCUAUGCUGGAAUGCUUGAUGGGGAAAAUGCGCGGUAAAUUGUAGCCGUUGCGCCUUAGGAUGAGACUGCUCCUGAUUAGGUAGUUGGUGAGGUAACGGCUCACCAAGCCGAUAAUCAGUAGGGGCAAUGGGAGUUGGCGCCCCGAGAAGGGCACUGAGACAAGGGCCCUAGUCCUACGGGAUGCAGCAGGCGCGAAACCUUUACAAUGCGCGAAAGCGUGAUAAGGGAACUCUGAGUGGCAGCCGGCUUUUAGCCGACUGUCUUUUGGCGGACCUAAACCGUUCGCAGAAUAAGUUCUGGGUAAGACCAGUGCCAGCCGCCA
Molecule: ribosomal RNA, 400 nt
Filed under: uncultured archaeon
Lineage: Archaea
Description: bacterial SSU rRNA
Rfam family: Archaeal small subunit ribosomal RNA
Source: RNAcentral